Molecule: long non-coding RNA, 1235 nt
Filed under: Papio anubis (olive baboon)
Lineage: Eukaryota; Metazoa; Chordata; Mammalia; Primates; Cercopithecidae
Description: lncRNA (ENSPANG00000042908.1)
Source: RNAcentral
CGGGACACAAUUCUGCCAUGUGUCAGAAUCACCAGGGAGCUCUCCAAGCCCUCAAUUGCCUAAAGACUCGGAUCCACUAGUAUUUUUGGGGAUGAAUUUUUUAAAAAGUCCACCCAAAGGAUUCCCACAUACAGCCAAGGAUGAGACCGACUGAGCUAAUUCCUUUCUGACCCAUUCUUCAACUUCUCCACUAGAUCAAACCAUUCUGCCUUCUCUAGAGUGAAUUUCUCAGUGUGCUGCAGAGACCUUUGCAGACAAUCAUCUGGGAAGCCUGCCCAACAGGCACAUCCUUGCACCCCACGCAGACCCACUGAGUCAAGACCUCUGGGUAUUGAAACCAAGGAUCUGAACUUUAAAACUCCUCCGUAAUCCUUUCGUGCUAUCAUUGAAAACUUGGAAACUUACUAUAUAGUCUUCUGUCUUUUACUGGCUGCUUUAAAAAAAUUUUUUUUUUUUGCUCUUUUUGUUCACACCCAUUUCUACAUAGCACAUUGAUUUUGUCAGUCCUUUACGGGAUUAGCAUUUCCAAGGCCCAAUUUUACAUCUGGUAACCACUUUUUUUUAAAACCACUUUUCUUCUAGAAGCAUUAUAACAAUGUGAAACUGUGUAAAUUGGGUAGAAAGAUAUGUUUUCAAGAUUAAUAUGUCUGUUUUAUAAUUGAGGCCAUUAUUGGUAUGUAUUUCUCCAUUAUAAAAGUACUAUGUUCUUAUUAUAAACAUUUGAAAAACGCAGAAAAGGAGAAAUUGGAAUGAGAAAAUUGCUCACAUUCUCACCGCUCAAAGACAACAACUGCCUACAAUUUAAUGCAUUUCUUUUUAGUCUUUCUUUUUCUGAGGUAUAGAACUUCUUUUUAAAAAAAUCAUGAUCAUAUUGCAGAAGUUGGACAUUAUGGGCUUAUGUUUAUAGAUUGACUUUAGUUACUGAAGAACUGGUAGAGUUCCUGGAAAUAAAACCCAUGAAAGUGUAUCCACUCAAGACUGCAGUCCCCAUGAGUUUCUUACUCACUGCAUCCACACUCAGCCUUUCGGUACCUCUUCAGAAUCACCACUGAAGUGCUCCUACCACUUUACGGCUGCAGCAACUUCUGCUCCAGGUAAGCUGAUGUCAGAGCACACUCUCAAUUUACCUGUCUCUCCAGAUUGUACAGUAGCAGUUUGCCCUGCAACCUCAAUUCUCUGACAGGUGUAAGAAAAGCCAUUGGUUUUCAGUUUGUCCAGCUUUUUUCAUGUUGUAA